CAUAAUGAAGCUCCGAACGUAACUCAUCACUCAUCUCCGUACCAAAACCAACCAAACUGUCAUUUCUUCAUAUCGCCAUGGCUACUUAUCUCCAUCUCACUCACCUUCAACAUCUCUCCCCAAUAACCCCUCAAAACUCUAACUCCCCUCUCGUUUCACCAAUCCCGAGGCACUCCAUUUCGUUCCUUCACAGCCGUUGGAUCAAAACCACACACUCCUUAUCUACACGCUCUACCACACGAUCGUCUCUCGUAUCGGCUGAUGUUGUAACGGAGCAGACUAACAAGCCUACUCUCCGGGAGCUCUGUCAAGGUCACGUGCCUGAACACGUGCUGCGCCGGUGCGUUUUUAUCGCUUUACGUUUUGAAUAAUUGAACUGUUCUCGUGGCGCUCGCUUGCUUUCGUUCUCGUUAUAAUUUAAGCUAUAGUUUGUAAUUGAUGAUAAAUGUCAAAUAAAAUCUAAUUUGUUGAUGUGUUUUUUUUCUGAAUUUUUAUUGUGAUUGAUGCUGCUGAAAUCUCCAGUGCUAAUUAACUUAUUGUAUUGUACGUUUAUCUGCUUAAAUUUAGCUGUAAUGUUACUCUAGAACAUGUAAAUUAAAUAUUUAGUUCGGGUUGUGAUUGAUAAUAUUGACAUAUAUAGGUCUUUUUGUGGCUUAUUUUUACUUGUGAGUAUGCUAAGUUAUAUAUUUAUGAAUUGUUGCAGCGGGGAAGAGGUCGGAUUUGUGCUACCUACGGAUGUCCAGGAGCAGGCUCUGCCAAUCCUGUUUUCUGGCCGUGAUUGUAUACUCCAUUCGCAGGUCACUAUUUUGUCUGAGAUCCUUGUUUUAUAAUAAUUUGGAGAGAGUUGUCUGCCAAAAUAUUGUUCAUUCAUGUGUUUUGAUAGUCACAGAAUUUAUGCUAAAAAAUCCGAUGAUAAUGUUGGCCAUAUUAAGUAGUAUUUGUUAUCUCCGAACUUCUUUCGCAUGUUCUGAUUAGUAUGCAGUCAUUGGGACGCAGCUUAAGACAUAUCAACUAUCAAGAUAAAAUAGCUUUAUAUCUCAUUUGUUUCGCACUGGACUUGUAUCCCUAAUUUUUUUCCGACAAUAAAAUGUAACUUCAUAUAGGCCUGGGAAGCAACAUAUAUACUGUAGCACCACGAGGACUGUUUUAUGCAUCCUCCUUAAGAAUCUGGUAGAUUGAUUAUUUUCCAGCUUAACAGUAUUGAUAUAAUGAAUUAGAUAGAGUUUAGUAUAUAUAUAUGCUAGUCAAACAUUGGAAGUUGUUACAUUUUGAAAAAACAUACAAAAAGUUGCUUUGAAAAGAGAAGUGGACAAGUAAUUUGGGACAAAUUUUUUUUUCAAAAGGGACAUGUAAAAAGGGACGGAGGGAGUAUAUCUUUUGGUUAUAUAUGUAAGGAAAUACUAUAAUUUAUACUAAUUCGGUAUAAUUUUAAGUUUAAAAAAAAAUCGAUAUAAUUUUAUAGAUUAUUUUAGUUUUCUUCAAUUUUAAAUAAAGAUAUUAUUAUAAAUAAAAAUUUAAACAUAAAUUAUAAAAUUAUAUUCUAAUAUAAUUUAGAAUGUUUUUAAUAAAAAAAAUGGCCUGACAAAAGAUGUAUCAAUCACUCGAUUAUUUUGUAGAUAUAAUAAGAAAGUUAAUUUCAGGUUUUUCUAAUAUGUGCUUGUCGCAUAUAAUAGUUAUUUUUUUAGGUGAAAUUUUUUAUUGUUAAAAUUUUUUAUCUCCGUUCAUUAUUAACGAAAUCGAUGUAAAUAAAAUCUACGGUCUAAAUAAAGUUGAUUGUUAUUAUUUGAAACUGACAAAUACUAGGAAAUUAGUUAAUUUAAUAUACUGCUCUGUGUUUUUAUUCUGGCGGUGGAAGAUGAUAAUUAUGUUUAUGACUUUGAGCGGGUAAAAGGUCAAAAGAAGGGAAUAGAAAAUACGGUAACACACAUGGAGGAUGAGCGGAGUUUGGCUGUGGAAUUGAUCAACUUGUAGACUUGUGUUUUGUCUUUAACCUUUGAACUCGGUGAGAACAAUAUCCUAUCUUUUAUUUACGAUUUUAAAUCAUCAAAUUCUUGUAGAUAUUUACUUGUAGAAAAUAAUAUUCAAUGAUGAUCGUAAGAGAUUUUUACGAAUCAAUACUAGUUGAAAUUUUUAACAAAUAAAUGUAACACUAUGUACCUGAUUCUAAUUUUAAUAAUCUUUUAUAAUUUAAUAAUAACUAAUGAAUUUUAAUAGAUUAAAUGUGAUAGUAUUAGUUAACAAUACAACUAGAGAAAUGUUAUAUUCAGAGCAAUCUUUUAAUAUCCAGAGCAAUUUGUAAAAAUUUGUAUCGAAAGUGUAUGAUUUGUGUAGAUGCAAGGGGAGCUGAGAAUUGAAUAUUAAAAACGUUGCUCUAGAUUUAACAUUUUCCUACAACUAUUGAAAGGAUUAUAAAAAUAUACUCCCUCCGUCCCACCCGAUUCUUUACAGUUUCCUUAUUUGGCCGUCCCACCCAUUUCUUUACAUCACAAAACUUUCCUAAAAUAGUUAAUGGGUCCCACCAUUUUCCCACUUUUCCUUUCUUUUCACACUACUUUUACUCCACCAACUCUCUUUUAUAUAUUAAAAAUCAAUGGGUCUCACCACUUCACCCACUUUUCCUUCUCUUUUCCACUACUUUAUACAUAUUUCUAAACCUCCGUGCCCAAACCCAAUGUAAAGAAUUGGGUGGGACGGAGGGAGUAUUGAAUAUGAUCUUUUAAUUUUUUAAACAUUUCUUAACUGUAUUCAAAAUAAAACACAGUGAUAAGUAGAAUACACAUAUAGUUAAUGGGAAAAAAUUCAAAAAGUUUAGGUGGAUUUAAUUUUUUACUAGAAAAUAUUUUAUAUGAACAACUCUUAUGUGGUGAAAUAUAAAUAAAGAGCUAGCUUUUACCAAAUAUUUCAUCACAUUAGAGCAUCUCUCAUGAUCGUAAAAAUCAAGAACUGAAAUCAUUAAGUUGUCCUACUGAUCUGAUAUUAAUCAAUUUUUUCUACUAAAUCAAAUAAUUAAAUGAGAGUAUAAUCGGUGAAUCAGCACAAUAUUUCAUCCAAUCAACAGUGAAUUCUUUAACAGAACAGGAUUCUUUCAGAACACUCUAAACAAGAGAGGGUUGGGCUUUUUUUAUUGGAUAGCUAAGUCCAGGUGAUACUCUUCUCCAACAGGCCCAUAAUGAAGCUCCGAACGUAACUCAUCACUCAUCUCCGUACCAAAACCAACCAAACUGUCAUUUCUUCAUAUCGCCAUGGCUACUUAUCUCCAUCUCACUCACCUUCAACAUCUCUCCCCAAUAACCCCUCAAAACUCUAACUCCCCUCUCGUUUCACCAAUCCCGAGGCACUCCAUUUCGUUCCUUCACAGCCGUUGGAUCAAAACCACACACUCCUUAUCUACACGCUCUACCACACGAUCGUCUCU
This 3415-nucleotide long non-coding RNA is filed under the name Daucus carota (carrot). Its description in RNAcentral is "long non-coding RNA (DCAR_LNC005816)". Lineage: Eukaryota; Viridiplantae; Streptophyta; Magnoliopsida; Apiales; Apiaceae. The record is from RNAcentral.